RNAcentral lists this ribosomal RNA (776 nucleotides) under Vibrio harveyi. Its description in RNAcentral is "bacterial SSU rRNA". It matches the Rfam family "Bacterial small subunit ribosomal RNA", at positions 44 to 797 of the family's 1533-position model. The record is from RNAcentral. Lineage: Bacteria; Pseudomonadati; Pseudomonadota; Gammaproteobacteria; Vibrionales; Vibrionaceae.
GGGGGAGCUACCAUGCAGUCGAGCGGAACGAGUUAUCUGAACCUUCGGGGGACGAUAACGGCGCCCUAGCGGCGGACGGGUGAGUAAUGCCUAGGAAAUUGCCCUGAUGUGGGGGAUAACCAUUGGAAACGAUGGCUAAUACCGCAUAAUACCUACGGGUCAAAGAGGGGGACCUUCGGGCCUCUCGCGUCAGGAUAUGCCUAGGUGGGAUUAGCUAGUUGGUGAGGUAAUGGCUCACCAAGGCGACGAUCCCUAGCUGGUCUGAGAGGAUGAUCAGCCACACUGGAACUGAGACACGGUCCAGACUCCUACGGGAGGCAGCAGUGGGGAAUAUUGCACAAUGGGCGCAAGCCUGAUGCAGCCAUGCCGCGUGUGUGAAGAAGGCCUUCGGGUUGUAAAGCACUUUCAGUCGUGAGGAAGGUAGUGUAGUUAAUAGCUGCAUUAUUUGACGUUAGCGACAGAAGAAGCACCGGCUAACUCCGUGCCAGCAGCCGCGGUAAUACGGAGGGUGCGAGCGUUAAUCGGAAUUACUGGGCGUAAAGCGCAUGCAGGUGGUUUGUUAAGUCAGAUGUGAAAGCCCGGGGCUCAACCUCGGAAUAGCAUUUGAAACUGGCAGACUAGAGUACUGUAGAGGGGGGUAGAAUUUCAGGUGUAGCGGUGAAAUGCGUAGAGAUCUGAAGGAAUACCGGUGGCGAAGGCGGCCCCCUGGACAGAUACUGACACUCAGAUGCGAAAGCGUGGGGAGCAAACAGGAUUAGAUACCCUUGGUAAGUCAA